GGGGGUGUAGCUAAGUGGUAGGCAGCUUGUGUAGCAAACACAAGGCCUGGGUUCAAUCCCCAGCAAACACCCCCA
This 75-nucleotide transfer RNA is filed under the name Marmota monax (woodchuck). Its description in RNAcentral is "tRNA.Cys". It matches the Rfam family "tRNA". Rfam says of the family: Transfer RNA (tRNA) molecules are approximately 80 nucleotides in length. Their secondary structure includes four short double-helical elements and three loops (D, anti-codon, and T loops). Lineage: Eukaryota; Metazoa; Chordata; Mammalia; Rodentia; Sciuridae. The record is from RNAcentral.